AGAGUUUGAUCCUGGCUCAGAAUCAACGCUGGCGGCGUGCCUAACACAUGCAAGUCGAGCGAGAAAGGGUAGCAAUAUCCGAGUACAGCGGCGCACGGGUGAGUAACACGUGGGUAAUCUGCCUCGAAGUGGGGAAUAACACCGGGAAACCGGUGCUAAUACCGCAUAAUCUGAUGGAGUUUGCGGAUUUCAUCAGCAAAGGAGCAAUUCGCUUUGAGAGGAGCCCGCGGCUGAUUAGCUAGUUGGUGAGGUAAUGGCUCACCAAGGCGACGAUCAGUAGCCGGUCUGAGAGGACGGUCGGCCACACUGGAACUGAGACACGGUCCAGACUCCUACGGGAGGCAGCAGUGGGGAAUUUUUGGCAAUGGGGGCAACCCUGACCAAGCAACGCCGCGUGGGUGAUGAAGUCUCUUGGGACGUAAAACCCUUUCGACGGGGACGAAGCCGCAAGGUUGACGGUACCCGUAGAAGAAGCCCCGGCUAACUCCGUGCCAGCAGCCGCGGUAAUACGGGGGGGGCAAGCGUUGUUCGGAAUUACUGGGCGUAAAGGGCGCGUAGGCGGCUCACUAAGUCGGAUGUGAAAACUCUGGGCUCAACCCAGAGCCUGCAUCCGAAACUGGUGGGCUAGGGUGCUGGAGGGGAAAGCGGAAUUCCUGGUGUAGCGGUGAAAUGCGUAGAUAUCAGGAGGAACACCGGUGGCGAAGGCGGCUUUCUGGACAGUAACCGACGCUGAGGCGCGAAAGCUAGGGGAGCAAACAGGAUUAGAUACCCUAGUAGUCC
Molecule: ribosomal RNA, 780 nt
Filed under: uncultured bacterium
Lineage: Bacteria
Description: bacterial SSU rRNA
Rfam family: Bacterial small subunit ribosomal RNA
Source: RNAcentral